This 349-nucleotide ribosomal RNA is filed under the name uncultured eukaryote. RNAcentral's name for it is "SSU rRNA". It matches the Rfam family "Eukaryotic small subunit ribosomal RNA", at positions 587 to 972 of the family's 1831-position model. The record is from RNAcentral.
AGCUCCAAUAGCGUAUAUUAAAGUUGCUGCGGUUAAAAAGCUCGUAGUUGGAUCUCAGUCUCGGUCGGACGGUCCAUUUCGAUGGUACUGUUCGAAUCGGACAUUUGGCCGCCUUUCCCAGUAUCCUCUUGACUGAGUGUAUUGGGAGAGUGCUCAAAGCAGGCAUUCGCCUGAAUCUUCGUGCAUGGAAUGAUGGAAUAGGGCCUCGGUUCUAUUUUGUUGGUUUCCGGAACUCGAGGUAAUGAUUAAGAGGGACAGACGGGGGCAUUCGUAUUGCGACGUUAGAGGUGAAAUUCUUAGAUCGUCGCAAGACGAACUACUGCGAAAGCAUUUGCCAAGAAUGUUUUCA